CGAGCGGAGGAGGAGCCGUGCGACGGCAAGCCGGAACACAAGCUAAAUAUCUUCCGUUGCUCCGGUAUCCUUUUCCACCACAGUUCUUCCACAAAUCUCAGAUACACUUCGCCUUCCACAAGACCGCACAUGUAACGCACAACUUCUUGAAUUCACACAGAAGUUCCUUCCCCAUACGCUCGAUCUGGUAUACAAUACAAAGAGAAACACGAGGGCCCAGACAUUUGAUCUCAUCGCAGGUGACGCAGCCGACGGCCACGCCAACCCCGCCGUCUUCGUCGACGGGACCGGCGACGCCAACCUUCACAUUGUUGUGCCGACCAGCGACCGCCUCGUUCACGCCUCUCCGUCGGCCACUUACCGAGAUCCGAAGUGAUCCCAGCUUCCUGUAAUAGAUGGAUAUAGUGAAUCACAUGGUGGUGCAAUUGAGCCCCAGUCAGAGCUACUCUCAUGAUUGCAAUGAGUACUAUGGCAGAGGUGCUAUUCCUGUUUACAGGUCAGACUGAUCUGUCACUUUGUUGAUAAUCUUGGAUCCGCUUGUUGAUGUUCACCAGGAAUCACAACUAUGGUAUCUCAUUACCAAUACUAUCUUGACUUGAUGGGAGUUGGCCCUGAGCACUCUCGACACAACUUGGAUUGUGGUGAUCAGGUGGCUUUCAAUCUAUCAUCAGAGAGUUCCGACUUCUAAGAAACUGUUUUAAAAAUCAGUGUGUCUGGGGCUGAGGGCCCACUAACUGGGUUCCCCAAGCUAUUGUGAUCAUGUCUUUGAAACAACAGUUGUUUGCCCUAUGGCAUAUGUAAUAUGUACUAUGAUGCUUAAUAUUUUACCACCGC
Long non-coding RNA from Panicum virgatum (switchgrass), 834 nucleotides. RefSeq lists it as uncharacterized. The record is from RefSeq and is a predicted model, not a curated record. The transcript has 2 exons. NCBI's taxonomy places the organism in Eukaryota, Viridiplantae, Streptophyta, Magnoliopsida, Poales, Poaceae.